Molecule: ribosomal RNA, 623 nt
Filed under: Pseudomonas monteilii
Lineage: Bacteria; Pseudomonadati; Pseudomonadota; Gammaproteobacteria; Pseudomonadales; Pseudomonadaceae
Description: bacterial SSU rRNA
Rfam family: Bacterial small subunit ribosomal RNA
Source: RNAcentral
GAGCGGAUGACGGGAGCUUGCUCCUUGAUUCAGCGGCGGACGGGUGAGUAAUGCCUAGGAAUCUGCCUGGUAGUGGGGGACAACGUUUCGAAAGGAACGCUGAUACCGCAUACGUCCUAGGGGAGAAAGCAGGGGACCUUCGGGCCUUGCGCUAUCAGAUGAGCCUAGGUCGGAUUAGCUAGUUGGUGGGGUAAUGGCUCACCAAGGCGACGAUCCGUAACUGGUCUGAGAGGAUGAUCAGUCACACUGGAACUGAGACACGGUCCAGACUCCUACGGGAGGCAGCAGUGGGGAAUAUUGGACAAUGGGCGAAAGCCUGAUCCAGCCAUGCCGCGUGUGUGAAGAAGGUCUUCGGAUUGUAAAGCACUUUAAGUUGGGAGGAAGGGCAGUAAGUUAAUACCUUGCUGUUUUGACGUUACCGACAGAAUAAGCACCGGCUAACUCUGUGCCAGCAGCCGCGGUAAUACAGAGGGUGCAAGCGUUAAUCGGAAUUACUGGGCGUAAAGCGCGCGUACGUGGUUUGUUAAGUUGGAUGUGAAAGCCCCGGGCUCAACCUGGUGACUGCAUCCAAAACUGGCAAGCUAGAGUACUGUAGAGGGUGGUGGAAUUUCCUGUGUAGCAGU